This is a long non-coding RNA of Homo sapiens (human), 196 nucleotides long. Ensembl annotates it as FOXP4 antisense RNA 1. Its record names the gene FOXP4-AS1. The record is from Ensembl. NCBI's taxonomy places the organism in Eukaryota, Metazoa, Chordata, Mammalia, Primates, Hominidae.
CUAGUGCUACCAUAAUUCGCCUAAAGCAGGUGCAGCAACUUUCACCCCGCCUGGCAGCCCGCUGAGAGCGAGAGAAAACCACGUGCACCAAACUUUAGGGGAGGAAAAAUGGGAACGUGGGGAGAAGACGUGAGGCGGCAGAUCUGAAAAAGAUGGAGAUUAGCUCCGUUUGACAAGGCAGUGAACUUUGGGAGGG